This 896-nucleotide ribosomal RNA is filed under the name uncultured marine bacterium. Its description in RNAcentral is "bacterial SSU rRNA". It matches the Rfam family "Bacterial small subunit ribosomal RNA", at positions 57 to 1001 of the family's 1533-position model. The record is from RNAcentral.
GCAAGUCGAACGAAGUAGCAAUACUUAGUGGCAGACGGGUGAGUAACAUGUGGGUAUCUUCCCUUUGGUGAGGAAUAACACGAGGAAACUUGUGCUAAUACCUCAUAAGUCUUUACGGAGAAAGCUUUAUGCGCCAAUGGAUGAGCCCGCACUUGAUUAGUUUGUUGGUGGGGUAAUGGCCUACCAAGACUUUGAUCAAUAGCUGAUCUGAGAGGAUGAUCAGCCACAUUGGGACUGAGACACGGCCCAAACUCCUACGGGAGGCAGCAGUAGGGAAUAUUGCACAAUGGAGGAAACUCUGAUGCAGCGAUGCCGCGUGAGUGAAGAAGGCCUUUGGGUUGUAAAGCUCUUUCGUCGGGGAAGAAAAUGACUGUACCCGAAUAAGAAGGUCCGGCUAACUUCGUGCCAGCAGCCGCGGUAAUACGAAGGGACCUAGCGUAGUUCGGAAUUACUGGGCUUAAAGAGUUCGUAGGUGGUUAAAAAAGUUGGUGGUGAAAUCCCAGAGCUUAACUCUGGAACUGCCAUCAAAACUUUUUAGCUAGAGUAUGAUAGAGGAAAGCAGAAUUUCUAGUGUAGAGGUGAAAUUCGUAGAUAUUAGAAAGAAUACCAAUUGCGAAGGCAGCUUUCUGGAUCAUUACUGACGCUGAGGAACGAAAGCAUGGGUAGCGAAGAGGAUUAGAUACCCUCGUAGUCCAUGCCGUAAACGAUGUGUGUUAGACGUUGGAAAUUUAUUUUCAGUGUCGCAGCGAAAGCAUUAAACACACCGCCUGGGGAGUACGACCGCAAGGUUAAAACUCAAAUGAAUUGACGGGGACCCGCACAAGUAGUGGAGCAUGUGGUUUAAUUCGAAGAUACGCGCAGAACCUUACCAACACUUGACAUGUUCGUCGCGACUC